UACGGGAGGCAGCAGUGGGGAAUAUUGGACAAUGGGCGGAAGCCUGAUCCAGCCAUGCCGCGUGUGUGAAGAAGGCCUUUUGGUUGUAAAGCACUUUAAGCGAGGAGGAGGCUACUAGUACUAAUACUACUGGAUAGUGGACGUUACUCGCAGAAUAAGCACCGGCUAACUCUGUGCCAGCAGCCGCGGUAAUACAGAGGGUGCGAGCGUUAAUCGGAUUUACUGGGCGUAAAGCGUGCGUAGGCGGCUGAUUAAGUCGGAUGUGAAAUCCCUGAGCUUAACUUAGGAAUUGCAUUCGAUACUGGUCAGCUAGAGUAUGGGAGAGGAUGGUAGAAUUCCAGGUGUAGCGGUGAAAUGCGUAGAGAUCUGGAGGAAUACCGAUGGCGAAAGGCAGCCAUCUGGCCUAAUACUGACGCUGAGUACGAAAGGCAUGGGGAAGGCAAACAGGGAUUUAAGGAAUAACC
Molecule: ribosomal RNA, 464 nt
Filed under: uncultured bacterium
Lineage: Bacteria
Description: bacterial SSU rRNA
Rfam family: Bacterial small subunit ribosomal RNA
Source: RNAcentral